This 886-nucleotide ribosomal RNA is filed under the name Shewanella sp. KJF8-16. Its description in RNAcentral is "bacterial SSU rRNA". It matches the Rfam family "Bacterial small subunit ribosomal RNA", at positions 18 to 894 of the family's 1533-position model. Lineage: Bacteria; Pseudomonadati; Pseudomonadota; Gammaproteobacteria; Alteromonadales; Shewanellaceae. The record is from RNAcentral.
CCUGGCUCAGAUUGAACGCUGGCGGCAGGCCUAACACAUGCAAGUCGAGCGGUAACACAAGGGAGCUUGCUUCUGAGGUGACGAGCGGCGGACGGGUGAGUAAUGCCUAGGGAUCUGCCCAGUCGAGGGGGAUAACAGUUGGAAACGACUGCUAAUACCGCAUACGCCCUACGGGGGAAAGGAGGGGACCUUCGGGCCUUCCGCGAUUGGAUGAACCUAGGUGGGAUUAGCUAGUUGGUGAGGUAAUGGCUCACCAAGGCGACGAUCCCUAGCUGUUCUGAGAGGAUGAUCAGCCACACUGGGACUGAGACACGGCCCAGACUACUACGGGAGGCAGCAGUGGGGAUAUUGCACAAUGGGGGAAACCCUGAUGCAGCCAUGCCGCGUGUGUGAAGAAGGCCUUCGGGUUGUAAAGCACUUUCAGUAGGGAGGAAAGGUAAUAGUUUAAUAAACUAUUACUGUGACGUUACCUACAGAAGAAGGACCGGCUAACUCCGUGCCAGCAGCCGCGGUAAUACGGAGGGUCCGAGCGUUAAUCGGAAUUACUGGGCGUAAAGCGUGCGCAGGCGGUUUGUUAAGCCAGAUGUGAAAUCCCCGGGCUCAACCUGGGAAUUGCAUUUGGAACUGGCGAACUAGAGUCUUGUAGAGGGGGGUAGAAUUCCAGGUGUAGCGGUGAAAUGCGUAGAUAUCUGGAGGAAUACCGGUGGCGAAGGCGGCCCCCUGGACAAAGACUGACGCUCAUGCACGAAAGCGUGGGGAGCAAACAGGAUUAGAUACCCCGGUAGUCCACGCCGUAAACGAUGUCUACUCGGAGUUUGGUGACUUAGUCACUGGGCUCCCAAGCUAACGCAUUAAGUAGACCGCCUGGGGAGUACGGCCGCAAGGU